GCGUCGUUAGCUCAGUUGGUAGAGCAGCCGACUCUUAAUCGGCGGGUCGGGGGUUCAAGUCCCUCACGGCGCAC
RNAcentral lists this transfer RNA (74 nucleotides) under Mycobacterium phage Whirlwind. Its description in RNAcentral is "tRNA-Lys". It matches the Rfam family "tRNA". From Rfam's summary of the family: Transfer RNA (tRNA) molecules are approximately 80 nucleotides in length. Their secondary structure includes four short double-helical elements and three loops (D, anti-codon, and T loops). Lineage: Duplodnaviria; Heunggongvirae; Uroviricota; Caudoviricetes; Vilmaviridae. The record is from RNAcentral.